GGGGGCGGAUCGGGCCUGGUGGCUCGGCCGGUCUUCAAAACCGUGACAGAGAAGCCAUCGGCAUGCUCUGGUGGGUUCGAUUCCCACACGCUCCCGCCA
RNAcentral lists this transfer RNA (99 nucleotides) under Gemmatimonadota bacterium. Its description in RNAcentral is "tRNA-Sec". It matches the Rfam family "Selenocysteine transfer RNA". Lineage: Bacteria; Pseudomonadati; Gemmatimonadota. RNAcentral also lists the same sequence under 2 other names. The record is from RNAcentral.